AUUGAACGCUGGCGGCAUGCUUUACACAUGCAAGUCGAACGGCAGCGCGGGCUUCGGCCUGGCGGCGAGUGGCGAACGGGUGAGUAAUGCAUCGGAACGUGCCCAGCAGUGGGGGAUAACACGGCGAAAGCCGGAUUAAUACCCCAUACGACCUGAGCGUGAAAGCGGGGGACCCAAAGGCCUCGCGCUAUUGGAUCGCCCCAUGUCGGAUUUGCUAGUUGGUGGGGUAAAGGCUUACCAAGGCGACGAUCCGUAGCUGGUCUGAGAGGACGACCCGCCACACUGGGACGGAGACACGGCCCAGACUCCUACGGGAGGCAGCAGUGGGGAAUGUUGGACAAUGGGGGCAACCCGGAUCCAGCCAUGCCGCGUGCGGGAAGAGGGCGUUCGGGUUGUAAACCGCAUUUGUUCGGGAAGAAAUCCUCUGGGCUAAUACCCCGGGGGGAUGACGGUACCGGAAGAAGAAGCACCGGCUAACUACGUG
RNAcentral lists this ribosomal RNA (484 nucleotides) under uncultured bacterium. RNAcentral describes it as "partial 16S ribosomal RNA". It matches the Rfam family "Bacterial small subunit ribosomal RNA", at positions 28 to 507 of the family's 1533-position model. The record is from RNAcentral.